GUGGAACAUACUCAUGCACAUAUACACCUAUCUAUUGGCUGCUUAUGUACUUGUAAGUAUGCAUGCGUAUAUGACUAUUUGUGGACAGGAAAAUGGGCCUUGGCAGGUCUGCUUCUGUUCCUUUUCAUUGAAAAAAUUAUGAGUGAUGAGUCUCAAUCUAAGGAAUUGAAAGAAGCUGAAGAAAAAAAGCAUGAUUGCUCAGGGAAAGAAAACAGAGCUCCAUCCAAAAUCAAUCACAAAGAGGAGUUAAAUCAUAACCAAAAUAAAGAUGUGGCCUUAACAAAACCUUCAGAGCCUGUACAAGAAUCUAGAUCUAUAAAGG
Molecule: long non-coding RNA, 322 nt
Organism: Octopus bimaculoides (California two-spot octopus)
Lineage: Eukaryota; Metazoa; Mollusca; Cephalopoda; Octopoda; Octopodidae
Source: RefSeq, a predicted model, not a curated record